GAAGGUAUAGCUCAAAUGGUAGAGUACCUGCCUAGCAUGCAUGAGGUCCUGGGCUCAAUCCCCAGUGCCUCUG
Molecule: transfer RNA, 73 nt
Filed under: Camelus bactrianus (Bactrian camel)
Lineage: Eukaryota; Metazoa; Chordata; Mammalia; Artiodactyla; Camelidae
Also listed under: 2 other names
Rfam family: tRNA
About the family: Transfer RNA (tRNA) molecules are approximately 80 nucleotides in length.
Source: Rfam by way of RNAcentral